This 576-nucleotide ribosomal RNA is filed under the name uncultured bacterium. Its description in RNAcentral is "partial 16S ribosomal RNA". It matches the Rfam family "Bacterial small subunit ribosomal RNA", at positions 355 to 919 of the family's 1533-position model. The record is from RNAcentral.
UGGGGAAUAUUGCACAAUGGGCGAAAGCCUGAUCCAGCAAUGCCGCGUGUGUGAAGAAGGCCUUCGGGUUGUAAAGCACUUUUGUCCGGAAAGAAAUCCUUGGCUCUAAUACAGUCGGGGGAUGACGGUACCGGAAGAAUAAGCACCGGCUAACUACGUGCCAGCAGCCGUGGUAAUACGUAGGGUGCAAGCGUUAAUCGGAAUUACUGGGCGUAAAGCGUGCGCAGGCGGUUUGCUAAGACCGAUGUGAAAUCCCCGGGCUCAACCUGGGAACUGCAUUGGUGACUGGCAGGCUAGAGUAUGGCAGAGGGGGGUAGAAUUCCACGUGUAGCAGUGAAAUGCGUAGAGAUGUGGAGGAAUACCGAUGGCGAAGGCAGCCCCCUGGGCCAAUACUGACGCUCAUGCACGAAAGCGUGGGGGAGCAAAACAGGAUUAGAUACCCUGGUAGUCCCACGCCCUAAACGAUGUCAACUAGUUGUUGGGGGAUUCAUUUCCUUAGUAACGUAGCUAACGCGUGAAGUUGACCGCCUGGGGGAGUACGGUCGCAAGAUUAAAACUUAAAUGAAUUGACGGGGU